CAGCCGCGGUAAUACGGAGGAUCCAAGCGUUAUCCGGAUUUAUUGGGUUUAAAGGGUGCGUAGGCGGCCUGUUAAGUCAGGGGUGAAAGACGGUAGCUCAACUAUCGCAGUGCCCUUGAUACUGAUGGGCUUGAAUGGACUAGAGGUAGGCGGAAUGAGACAAGUAGCGGUGAAAUGCAUAGAUAUGUCUCAGAACACCGAUUGCGAAGGCAGCUUACUAUGGUCUUAUUGACGCUGAGGCACGAAAGCGUGGGGAUCAAACAGGAUUAGAUACCCUGGUAGUCCACGCCCUAAACGAUGAACACUCGCUGUUGGCGAUACACAGUCAGCGGCUAAGCGAAAGCGUUAAGUGUUCCACCUGGGGAGUACGGUCGCAAGAUUGAAACUCAAAGGAAUUGACGGGGGCCCGCACAAGCGGAGGAGCAUGUGGUUUAAUUCGAUGAUACGCGAGGAACCUUACCCGGGCUUGAAAGUUAGUGAAUGAUUUAGAGAUAGAUCAGUCCGCAAGGACACGAAACUAGGUGCUGCAUGGCUGUCGUCAGCUCGUGCCGUGAGGUGUUGGGUUAAGUCCCGCAACGAGCGCAACCCCUAUGUUUAGUUGCCAGCACGUAAAGGUGGGGACUCUAAACAGACUGCCUGUGCAAACAGAGAGGAAGGAGGGGACGACGUCAAGUCAUCAUGGCCCUUACGUCCGGGGCUACACACGUGCUACAAUGGAUGGUACAGAGGGCAGCUACAUAGCAAUAUGAUGCGAAUCUCACAAAGCCAUUCACAGUUCGGAUUGGGGUCUGCAACUCGACCCCAUGAAGUUGGAUUCGCUAGUAAUCGCGUAUCAGCAAUGACGCGGUGAAUACGUUCCCGGGCCUUGUACACACCGCCCGUCAAGCCAUGGAAGUUGGGGGUACCUAAAGUAUGUAACCGCAAGGAGCGUCCUAGGUA
Molecule: ribosomal RNA, 939 nt
Filed under: Pedobacter sp. AD224
Lineage: Bacteria; Pseudomonadati; Bacteroidota; Sphingobacteriia; Sphingobacteriales; Sphingobacteriaceae
Description: bacterial SSU rRNA
Rfam family: Bacterial small subunit ribosomal RNA
Source: RNAcentral